Long non-coding RNA from Toxotes jaculatrix (banded archerfish), 623 nucleotides. RefSeq lists it as uncharacterized. The record is from RefSeq and is a predicted model, not a curated record. The transcript is spliced from 3 exons. NCBI's taxonomy places the organism in Eukaryota, Metazoa, Chordata, Actinopteri, Toxotidae.
AUUGUCCGUCUGUGAACACGGAGGAGAAGAGCAUGAAAGGACAUGAUAUAGCGCAGAGCAGUCCAUUCCCAAAGCACAGAGACAGCUGCCAACAGAGGGUAAACAUCAGCCCCCUCUGGGACAGCCACGCAGAGCUAAAAGGCCCUGGCUCCCAUACAGCCACGCAGCAGAGGUGGAGGGCAGCGAGUACCAGUGAUAAGUUGCUCUACUUCAGGGUCACGGCUGAGAGGUUUGGUUUAUAACCUCUGGAUCCUACCCGUCAAUCCCCCGCAGAAGUAUAAACCGGCCUUAAGAAGACGUGUAAUAAACAGACACUCACUGUGGUGAUGGGUAUAAAUAUCAGGGGAGCAUCAUAUAAUACCCUCGGUCGUGUAGAUCCAUCCAUGUGUAUGAUAUGCUUCCAUUCUGGGAUAAGGUCAGAAUUAAACUGGGCCUCCACUGCAGGCAGAAUGACAAAAUUUGCUAUUCUUGAGAUCAUUAUCUCACAUUUCAUAAAAGAAUGAGGUACACCAAAAACUGCAAGGGCACACGCAGCCACCGUGCGUACAUAUGAAGCACUCAAGUAUAUAAGCAUUGGUGACGCUUCAUCACCGACUUUAUGCACCAUAAGCGUGAGCGUAUAC